AACCUGCUGAACAAGAAAUGUUUGUGACGCAACCCACAAGGGCAUGUGGUGGCAGGAGGUGUGGCUGGCUCCUCCAGCAGCAGACGAGGCACACCCAUCUCCACUCAGCUCAUCAACCUACAUAUAUGAAAGUUGUUUAGGAGGUGAUCUACGUUGAUGUCAUCGUAGCUCUCCUGGAAGGUG
Non-coding RNA from Plectropomus leopardus (leopard coralgrouper), 183 nucleotides. NCBI's taxonomy places the organism in Eukaryota, Metazoa, Chordata, Actinopteri, Perciformes, Serranidae. The record is from RefSeq and is a predicted model, not a curated record.